GACGAACGCUGGCGGCGUGCUUAACACAUGCAAGUCGAACGGAAAAGCCCUGUACUUGUGGCGUGCUCAAGUGGCGAAAGGGUGAGUAAAACGCGUGUAACCUCCCCUUGACUUUGGGAUAACAUCAGGAAAAUGGAGCUAUAAUCGGACAGGAGAACCUGCUACAUGGUGGGGGAGGGUGAGUUACGGCGGUUCGGGAUGGACACGCGGCUUAGCAGCUUGUUGGUGGGGUAGUGGCGUACCAGGGCAUUGAGGGGUAGCCGGACUGAGAGGGUGACCGGCCACAAUGGGACUGGGAUACGGCCCAGACUCCUACGGGAGGCAGCAGUGGGGAAUAGUGCGCGAUGGGCGGAAGCCGUAAGGAGGAACUUCGCGUGCUAGAUAACUGCCUUCAGGUUGUAAACCGCGUGCGCCUGUGACGAAGCGUGAGUGACGGUAACUAGUAAAGAAGCACCGGCUAACUACGUG
RNAcentral lists this ribosomal RNA (468 nucleotides) under uncultured bacterium. Its description in RNAcentral is "partial 16S ribosomal RNA". It matches the Rfam family "Bacterial small subunit ribosomal RNA", at positions 28 to 507 of the family's 1533-position model. The record is from RNAcentral.